Molecule: long non-coding RNA, 713 nt
Organism: Lycium ferocissimum
Lineage: Eukaryota; Viridiplantae; Streptophyta; Magnoliopsida; Solanales; Solanaceae
Exons: 3
Source: RefSeq, a predicted model, not a curated record
UUUCCUUGAAAAUUGUGUUAUUAAAUACUUAUGAUUUGUGUAAAAAUGUGUACUUAUUUUCUAUUUUUAUUCUAUAAAUAAUUGUACGGUAGAAUAAUGCUAUUCACAAUUGAUUGUCUCUGCUCACAAAAUGGGACAGCUUUAAGGUCUGUGGGGAACACAAAAGUCAGUUUCAUGGUGGAACUGUAUUUCCACAAUAUACGGCUUGGAUAUAAUUGCACAUACUGUUUCACGUAUUAGCAGUUAACAUUGUUUACAUCUAUUCUAGAUUCUAGAUUCGCUCAUCUGUAAACAAUCCUAAUCCUAAUCACAAAACUCCUCUAGGGUUCUCUUAUUCCAACUAACUAAUACUCUCACCCGCAAAGUACUUCAUCAUCGUAUCUCUGGAGUGGGGCACAGUGGACUUCGAUGAGUAUGAAUAUAUAUCUUAAAAACCCCGUUGAAGAAAACAACGCCGACAAAGAGAAGGAAAGGACAGAAUAUGACUAUCGCAAAAUAGGAGAUAGAGACGAAGUCGAUGACUACAAUGAUUAUGAGGAUUAUUCUGGAGAGGCAACAUCGGCUCAGUUGUGUAGAUAAGGAAACCCAAACUCUGAAGAUUAUUCCUCUCCUUUCAGGACCUGAUCAGACGACAAUAUUUAAGUAUAAUCGCAAGAUGAUGAAUGAUGUCAGUUCAGUUGUUGCACCUGUUGGUAGCACUAUUACGGCAACAC